Molecule: ribosomal RNA, 1515 nt
Filed under: Erwinia persicina
Lineage: Bacteria; Pseudomonadati; Pseudomonadota; Gammaproteobacteria; Enterobacterales; Erwiniaceae
Description: bacterial SSU rRNA
Rfam family: Bacterial small subunit ribosomal RNA
Source: RNAcentral
AGAGUUUGAUUAUGGCUCAGAUUGAACGCUGGCGGCAGGCCUAACACAUGCAAGUCGAACGGUAGCACAGAGAGCUUGCUCUUGGGUGACGAGUGGCGGACGGGUGAGUAAUGUCUGGGAAACUGCCCGAUGGAGGGGGAUAACUACUGGAAACGGUAGCUAAUACCGCAUAACGUCUUCGGACCAAAGUGGGGGACCUUCGGGCCUCACACCAUCGGAUGUGCCCAGAUGGGAUUAGCUAGUAGGUGGGGUAACGGCUCACCUAGGCGACGAUCCCUAGCUGGUCUGAGAGGAUGACCAGCCACACUGGAACUGAGACACGGUCCAGACUCCUACGGGAGGCAGCAGUGGGGAAUAUUGCACAAUGGGCGCAAGCCUGAUGCAGCCAUGCCGCGUGUAUGAAGAAGGCCUUCGGGUUGUAAAGUACUUUCAGCGGGGAGGAAGGCGAUAAGGUUAAUAACCUUGUCGAUUGACGUUACCCGCAGAAGAAGCACCGGCUAACUCCGUGCCAGCAGCCGCGGUAAUACGGAGCGUGCAAGCGUUAAUCGGAAUUACUGGGCGUAAAGCGCACGCAGGCGGUCUGUCAAGUCGGAUGUGAAAUCCCCGGGCUCAACCUGGGAACUGCAUUCGAAACUGGCAGGCUAGAGUCUUGUAGAGGGGGGUAGAAUUCCAGGUGUAGCGGUGAAAUGCGUAGAGAUCUGGAGGAAUACCGGUGGCGAAGGCGGCCCCCUGGACAAAGACUGACGCUCAGGUGCGAAAGCGUGGGGAGCAAACAGGAUUAGAUACCCUGGUAGUCCACGCCGUAAACGAUGUCGACUUGGAGGUUGUGCCCUUGAGGCGUGGCUUCCGGAGCUAACGCGUUAAGUCGACCGCCUGGGGAGUACGGCCGCAAGGUUAAAACUCAAAUGAAUUGACGGGGGCCCGCACAAGCGGUGGAGCAUGUGGUUUAAUUCGAUGCAACGCGAAGAACCUUGCCUGGCCUUGACAUCCACGGAAUUUGGCAGAGAUGCCUUAGUGCCUUCGGGAACCGUGAGACAGGUGCUGCAUGGCUGUCGUCAGCUCGUGUUGUGAAAUGUUGGGUUAAGUCCCGCAACGAGCGCAACCCUUAUCCUUUGUUGCCAGCGAGUAAUGUCGGGAACUCAAAGGAGACUGCCGGUGAUAAACCGGAGGAAGGUGGGGAUGACGUCAAGUCAUCAUGGCCCUUACGGCCAGGGCUACACACGUGCUACAAUGGCGCAUACAAAGAGAAGCGACCUCGCGAGAGCAAGCGGACCUCAUAAAGUGCGUCGUAGUCCGGAUCGGAGUCUGCAACUCGACUCCGUGAAGUCGGAAUCGCUAGUAAUCGUAGAUCAGAAUGCUACGGUGAAUACGUUCCCGGGCCUUGUACACACCGCCCGUCACACCAUGGGAGUGGGUUGCAAAAGAAGUAGGUAGCUUAACCUUCGGGAGGGCGCUUACCACUUUGUGAUUCAUGACUGGGGUGAAGUCGUAACAAGGUAACCGUAAGCUUCACAA